Non-coding RNA from Peromyscus maniculatus bairdii (prairie deer mouse), 1690 nucleotides. The record is from RefSeq and is a predicted model, not a curated record. Lineage: Eukaryota; Metazoa; Chordata; Mammalia; Rodentia; Cricetidae.
UGCCUCUUGGGGAGGCGGCGGCGGCCGGGCGUCGCGGGCCCCCUGGGGACGCCCAGUUAAGAGAGAGUUAAGGGAGGCUGGGCCUUAAAGGGGCGACGGACGCUGCUUUAAAGGGGGAACGGCCUUUUGCGGAAGGGAGUGCGGAACCGGGAGGCGGCGGGGCGGACCCGCUGGGCGGAGAGCUGUCAACUCAGGCGUCUCUCCACCUCGCCCCAGGCUAGGAGGUGAUGCAGGACCCGUGGAUUCCGAGGCUGACUGCACUGAGGAGGAGUAGAAGAGGCUGGGCAGAGUGGUGCAUGCCUGCACUUCCAACACUGGAGAAACUGAGGCUGGAGGGGUGUCCUAGGUCAGGCCGCAAGUGCGGGAAGUGGGACCUAUCCUUAGGAGGCAGUUGUUAAGUUCUUUCUCCACAGCUCUCCACAUGUCAAACUCACAUGGGAUCACGUAUGGCACAGGUAUCAGCAGCCUCCUGGAGUGGUUGCUUCUCCUGGGCCCACCCCUUUUCCCAGCAGGCUGGGGACGUCCCUGUAAGGUGGGAUUAUUCCCACUUUACAGAUGAGAAAGAUGAGGUGCAGAGGAAGGUAAGUAUCACAAGACAAAUCUACUUGGUAGCUGGCUGGGUUCAUAGAGUAGUGUGUGAGAAACACAUUCCAGAGGAUGUACCAACUUGAUGCAUCUCUGUCUCAGGAACAAGAUAGCCAUUGGCCCACAGCACACAGGGUGCCUCCCCGUUCCUGAAUCCUGCGGCAUCAGCCCACAGCUCCCCCACGUCAAACUCAGCAUCACAAAUGACACCGAUCUACCAGUGGCUUCCUGGAGUGCCUGAUGAUCCGCCCCUUUCCCCGGCGGCUCGGCUUUCCAGUGCACCCAGCAGGGGGCAUCCUUGUCCUUCCACUGUCCACCCUGGGGGCCGGCUUGGCCUGCUGCCAGCAGUGCCUUCCAAUCAGCAAUGCCCAAGAGUCAGCCCGAGGCCAACUCCCCAAAUGUAGUCCUGUGUCUUCCUUCCGCCACAGCUACUGUACUAUUAUUUACAUUGGUUUUUUUUUUCCCCUUUGUCAACUCAACAUUUUUAAAAGCUUUAAUGCUGUUUUGGUAGAGUCUCACUACAUUGUCCCGGUCUCUAGGUUAGCCUGGAGCUCCAGCCAGAGCUCUAGCCAUCCUCUGGCCUCAGCCUUCCAACGAACUGUGACUAUAGGCAUGCGCCACCAUGCUGGGCAGCCUAUGUGUAUUUUUAAACGAGGAAACCCCCUGUUCAAUAAAGGUCUUUCGAGUGGCUUGCCAUUCUUAGGGCUGGCAUCAGGAUUUGGUAGGAGCCUGCAGGCCUCCAUUGAAGUUAUAGUUGGGAAUCCCAGGACCAUCGAUGGGUAAGGAUAUAAAACCGUUGUUCUGUGGGCUUAGGGCCUGAGAUUGAAGGAGCAGAGUCCAGAAAUCUUGGAAGGAGGAACAGAAACACCCCUCCUCCCUUGCAGAUUCUCUUCUAGGCCCAUGGCUGCCGGCAAGACAGGAAGGAGGAACUUGGACGUGGGGGCCAGAUCCGUCGCAGGUGACAGGUGUAGGGCUUUGGGAAGGGACAGGGAUUUCCCUUGCAAACUUCAUUCAAACAGACAGGGAUCCUGAUCCCAGGGAGACAGGCAGAUGUGCAGGGGCUCCCAGGAGGCCCCCAGGAAGGUCCAGCGCUAGAGGGAGUGGG